This 68-nucleotide transfer RNA is filed under the name Actinotia polyodon. Its description in RNAcentral is "tRNA-Phe". Lineage: Eukaryota; Metazoa; Arthropoda; Insecta; Lepidoptera; Noctuidae. The record is from RNAcentral.
AUUUAAAUAGCUUAUAAAUUUAGAGCAUAAUAUUGAAGAUAUUAAGGAGAUAUAAUUAUCUUUAGAUA